GAUGAACGCUAGCGGCAGGCUUAACACAUGCAAGUCGAGGGGUAUAGUAGCAAUACUAGAGACCGGCGCACGGGUGCGUAACGCGUAUGCAAUCUACCUUUCACAGAGGGAUAGCCCAGAGAAAUUUGGAUUAAUACCUCAUAGUAUUAUAGUAUGGCAUCAUAUUAUGAUUAAAGUCACAACGGUGAAGGAUGAGCAUGCGUCCCAUUAGCUAGUUGGUAAGGUAACGGCUUACCAAGGCAACGAUGGGUAGGGGUCCUGAGAGGGAGAUCCCCCACACUGGUACUGAGACACGGACCAGACUCCUACGGGAGGCAGCAGUGAGGAAUAUUGGACAAUGGGCGCAAGCCUGAUCCAGCCAUGCCGCGUGCGGGAUGACGGUCCUAUGGAUUGUAAACUGCUUUUGCACAGGAAGAAACAACUCUACGUGUAGAGUCUUGACGGUACUGUGAGAAUAAGGAUCGGCUAACUCCGUG
This 476-nucleotide ribosomal RNA is filed under the name uncultured bacterium. Its description in RNAcentral is "bacterial SSU rRNA". It matches the Rfam family "Bacterial small subunit ribosomal RNA", at positions 28 to 507 of the family's 1533-position model. The record is from RNAcentral.